RNAcentral lists this transfer RNA (73 nucleotides) under Camelus bactrianus (Bactrian camel). It matches the Rfam family "tRNA". Rfam says of the family: Transfer RNA (tRNA) molecules are approximately 80 nucleotides in length. Their secondary structure includes four short double-helical elements and three loops (D, anti-codon, and T loops). Lineage: Eukaryota; Metazoa; Chordata; Mammalia; Artiodactyla; Camelidae. RNAcentral also lists the same sequence under 2 other names. The record is from Rfam by way of RNAcentral.
GAAAGUAUAGCUCAAAAGAUAGAGCACAUGCUUAGCAUGCAUGAGGUCCUGGGUUCAAUCCCCAGUAACUCCA